AUGCAAGUCGAACGAUGAAGCCCUUCGGGGUGGAUUAGUGGCGAACGGGUGAGUAACACGUGGGCAAUCUGCCCUUCACUCUGGGACAAGCCCUGGAAACGGGGUCUAAUACCGGAUACCACUCCUGCCUGCAUGGGCGGGGGUUGAAAGCUCCGGCGGUGAAGGAUGAGCCCGCGGCCUAUCAGCUUGUUGGUGGGGUAAUGGCCCACCAAGGCGACGACGGGUAGCCGGCCUGAGAGGGCGACCGGCCACACUGGGACUGAGACACGGCCCAGACUCCUACGGGAGGCAGCAGUGGGGAAUAUUGCACAAUGGGCGAAAGCCUGAUGCAGCGACGCCGCGUGAGGGAUGACGGCCUUCGGGUUGUAAACCUCUUUCAGCAGGGAAGAAGCGAAAGUGACGGUACCUGCAGAAGAAGCGCCGGCUAACUACGUGCCAGCAGCCGCGGUAAUACGUAGGGCGCAAGCGUUGUCCGGAAUUAUUGGGCGUAAAGAGCUCGUAGGCGGCUUGUCACGUCGGAUGUGAAAGCCCGAGGCUUAACCUCGGGUCUGCAUUCGAUACGGGCUAGCUAGAGUGUGGUAGGGGAGAUCGGAAUUCCUGGUGUAGCGGUGAAAUGCGCAGAUAUCAGGAGGAACACCGGUGGCGAAGGCGGAUCUCUGGGCCAUUACUGACGCUGAGGAGCGAAAGCGUGGGGAGCGAACAGGAUUAGAUACCCUGGUAGUCCACGCCGUAAACGUUGGGAACUAGGUGUUGGCGACAUUCCACGUCGUCGGUGCCGCAGCUAACGCAUUAAGUUCCCCGCCUGGGGAGUACGGCCGCAAGGCUAAAACUCAAAGGAAUUGACGGGGGCCCGC
RNAcentral lists this ribosomal RNA (854 nucleotides) under Streptomyces sp. FXJ2.004. Its description in RNAcentral is "bacterial SSU rRNA". It matches the Rfam family "Bacterial small subunit ribosomal RNA", at positions 55 to 924 of the family's 1533-position model. The record is from RNAcentral. Lineage: Bacteria; Bacillati; Actinomycetota; Actinomycetes; Kitasatosporales; Streptomycetaceae.